GUCCACGCCCUAAACGAUGCGAACUGGAUGUUGGGUGCAAUUUGGCACGCAGUAUCGAAGCUAACGCGUUAAGUUCGCCGCCUGGGGAGUACGGUCGCAAGACUGAAACUCAAAGGAAUUGACGGGGGCCCGCACAAGCGGUGGAGUAUGUGGUUUAAUUCGAUGCAACGCGAAGAACCUUACCUGGUCUUGACAUCCACGGAACUUUCCAGAGAUGGAUUGGUGCCUUCGGGAACCGUGAGACAGGUGCUGCAUGGCU
This 259-nucleotide ribosomal RNA is filed under the name uncultured bacterium. RNAcentral describes it as "partial 16S ribosomal RNA". It matches the Rfam family "Bacterial small subunit ribosomal RNA", at positions 793 to 1050 of the family's 1533-position model. The record is from RNAcentral.